ACUGCAAGUCGAGCGGAAGAAGGGAGCUUGCUCCCGGAUGUUAGCGGCGGACGGGUGAGUAACACGUGGGUAACCUGCCUGUAAGACUGGGAUAACUCCGGGAAACCGGAGCUAAUACCGGAUAGUUCCUUGAACCGCAUGGUUCAAGGAUGAAAGACGGUUUCGGCUGUCACUUACAGAUGGACCCGCGGCGCAUUAGCUAGUUGGUGGGGUAAUGGCUCACCAAGGCGACGAUGCGUAGCCGACCUGAGAGGGUGAUCGGCCACACUGGGACUGAGACACGGCCCAGACUCCUACGGGAGGCAGCAGUAGGGAAUCUUCCGCAAUGGACGAAAGUCUGACGGAGCAACGCCGCGUGAGUGAUGAAGGUUUUCGGAUCGUAAAGCUCUGUUGUUAGGGAAGAACAAGUGCGAGAGUAACUGCUCGCACCUUGACGGUACCUAACCAGAAAGCCACGGCUAACUACGUGCCAGCAGCCGCGGUAAUACGUAGGUGGCAAGCGUUGUCCGGAAUUAUUGGGCGUAAAGGGCUCGCAGGCGGUUUCUUAAGUCUGAUGUGAAAGCCCCCGGCUCAACCGGGGGAGGGUUAUUGGAAACUGUGAAACUUGUCUGCUCA
This 615-nucleotide ribosomal RNA is filed under the name Bacillus zhangzhouensis. RNAcentral describes it as "bacterial SSU rRNA". It matches the Rfam family "Bacterial small subunit ribosomal RNA", at positions 53 to 652 of the family's 1533-position model. Lineage: Bacteria; Bacillati; Bacillota; Bacilli; Caryophanales; Bacillaceae. The record is from RNAcentral.